This 238-nucleotide ribosomal RNA is filed under the name uncultured bacterium. Its description in RNAcentral is "partial 16S ribosomal RNA". It matches the Rfam family "Bacterial small subunit ribosomal RNA", at positions 102 to 334 of the family's 1533-position model. The record is from RNAcentral.
CGACGGGUGGGUAACGCGUAUGCAACCUACCUUUAACAGGGGAGUAACACUGAGAAAUUGGUACUAAUACCCCAUAAUAUGGGCGCUCCGCAUGGAGAGUCCAUUAAAGAGAGCAAUCUUGGUUACAGACGAGCAUGCGCUCCAUUAGCCAGUUGGCGGGGUAACGGCCCACCAAGGCGACGAUGGAUAGGGGUUCUGAGAGGAAGGUCCCCCACAUUGGAACUGAGACACGGUCCAA